GGCUAUUAUCACUAGCAUGAUCCUCGUGAAGCUCUACAGAGUCAUCACCAUCUUCGCUUUCACUGCUGUCACUAUCGCUGCUCUCACUAUUUCUAUGAUUAUCGUGCCCAUUCUCACAAUGCUUGGGAGACUGCUUUUGAUUAAGCUGUGAAUUACUGCAUGGCUCCACAGCCAUCUGCCAUAUAGCAACAUCAAUAGAAUCUAACGCAAUCUGUCUUAAAUCAAAAAGGUCCCAUUCAGAAACUGAUCCAUCAAUACUGGAAGACAACAACCUUCCAGCAGGCGCACCACCGGAGCCCGACCGACACCAAACCAGCGAAGAAACCCUAGAAUUUGGAUUCCCG
Molecule: unclassified non-coding RNA, 344 nt
Filed under: Hevea brasiliensis (rubber tree)
Lineage: Eukaryota; Viridiplantae; Streptophyta; Magnoliopsida; Malpighiales; Euphorbiaceae
Source: RNAcentral